UCCGUCGCGAGGCGGAAUCUGAAGGAAGCCGGCGGAAAUCCUCCGGCCCAAGGACCACGAACCCCAGGUGAGGCUAAUGACAGUUGGGCGAGCUUGCCAUACAAAGCGAAGUCCUUGCUACCAAAGGCUGUCAGGAGUAGAUGGGGCGGGUAGAUGGAGGGAAAGAUAGCGUU
Non-coding RNA from Desulfotomaculum sp. 46_296, 173 nucleotides. The record is from Rfam. NCBI's taxonomy places the organism in Bacteria, Bacillati, Bacillota, Clostridia, Eubacteriales, Desulfotomaculaceae.